This 465-nucleotide ribosomal RNA is filed under the name uncultured Klebsiella sp. Its description in RNAcentral is "bacterial SSU rRNA". It matches the Rfam family "Bacterial small subunit ribosomal RNA", at positions 338 to 795 of the family's 1533-position model. The record is from RNAcentral. Lineage: Bacteria; Pseudomonadati; Pseudomonadota; Gammaproteobacteria; Enterobacterales; Enterobacteriaceae.
CCUACGGGGGGCAGCAGUGGGGAAUAUUGCACAAUGGGCGCAAGCCUGAUGCAGCCAUGCCGCGUGUGUGAAGAAGGCCUUCGGGUUGUAAAGCACUUUCAGCGGGGAGGAAGGCGGUGAGGUUAAUAACCCCAUCGAUUGACGUUACCCGCAGAAGAAGCACCGGCUAACUCCGUGCCAGCAGCCGCGGUAAUACGGAGGGUGCAAGCGUUAAUCGGAAUUACUGGGCGUAAAGCGCACGCAGGCGGUCUGUCAAGUCGGAUGUGAAAUCCCCGGGCUCAACCUGGGAACUGCAUUCGAAACUGGCAGGCUAGAGUCUUGUAGAGGGGGGUAGAAUUCCAGGUGUAGCGGUGAAAUGCGAAGAGAUCUGGAGGAAUACCGGUGGCGAAGGCGGCCCCCUGGACAAAGACUGACGCUCAGGUGCGAAAGCGUGGGGAGCAAACAGGAUUAGAUACCCCUGUAGUC